AGUGAACGCUGGCGGUAGGCCUAACACAUGCAAGUCGAACGGCAGCACAGUAAGAGCUUGCUCUUACGGGUGGCGAGUGGCGGACGGGUGAGGAAUACAUCGGAAUCUACUUUUUCGUGGGGGAUAACGUAGGGAAACUUACGCUAAUACCGCAUACGACCUACGGGUGAAAGCAGGGGAUCUUCGGACCUUGCGCGAUUGAAUGAGCCGAUGUCGGAUUAGCUAGUUGGCGGGGUAAAGGCCCACCAAGGCGACGAUCCGUAGCUGGUCUGAGAGGAUGAUCAGCCCCCCGUGGACCUGAGACAGGGCCCGAACCCCUACGGGAGGCACAAGGGGGGAAUUUGGGAAACGGGGGGAAACCCUAUCCCAGCCAUCCCGCGUGGGUGAAGAAGGCCUUCGGUUUGCAAACCCCUUUUUUUGGGAAAAAAAAGCAGCAGGUUAAUACCCCGCUGUUCGGACGGGACCAAAAGAAUAAGCCCCGGCUAACUGCGG
RNAcentral lists this ribosomal RNA (492 nucleotides) under uncultured bacterium. Its description in RNAcentral is "partial 16S ribosomal RNA". It matches the Rfam family "Bacterial small subunit ribosomal RNA", at positions 29 to 506 of the family's 1533-position model. The record is from RNAcentral.